This 253-nucleotide ribosomal RNA is filed under the name uncultured bacterium. Its description in RNAcentral is "partial 16S ribosomal RNA". It matches the Rfam family "Bacterial small subunit ribosomal RNA", at positions 524 to 776 of the family's 1533-position model. The record is from RNAcentral.
UACGGGGGGGGCAAGCGUUGUUCGGAAUUACUGGGCGUAAAGGGCUCGUAGGCGGCCAACUAAGUCGGAUGUGAAAUCCCCAGGCUUAACCUGGGAACUGCAUCCGAUACUGGAUGGCUUGAAUUCGGGAGAGGGAUGCAGAAUUCCAGGUGUAGCGGUGAAAUGCGUAGAUAUCUGGAGGAAUACCGGUGGCGAAGGUGGCAUCCUGGACCGAGAUUGACGCUGAUGAGCGAAAGCUAGGGGAGCAAACGGG